RNAcentral lists this ribosomal RNA (256 nucleotides) under uncultured bacterium. RNAcentral describes it as "partial 16S ribosomal RNA". It matches the Rfam family "Bacterial small subunit ribosomal RNA", at positions 524 to 776 of the family's 1533-position model. The record is from RNAcentral.
UACGAAGGGGGACUAGCGUUGCUCGGAAUGACUGGGCGUAAAGGGCGCGUAGGCGGCGCAGUUAGUCAGGCGUGAAAUGUCCUGGGCUCAACCUGGGGACUCGCUUGAUACGGCUGUGCUUUGAGGAUGGAAGAGGCUCGCGGAAUUCCCAGUGUAGAGGUGAAAUUUCGUAGAUAUUGGGAAGAACACCCGUGGCGAAGGCGGCUCUCUGGGACGGUACUGACGCUGAGACGCGAAAGCGUGGGGAGCGAACAGG